RNAcentral lists this ribosomal RNA (461 nucleotides) under Microprosopa pallidicauda. Its description in RNAcentral is "partial 16S ribosomal RNA". It matches the Rfam family "Bacterial large subunit ribosomal RNA", at positions 1922 to 2591 of the family's 2925-position model. Lineage: Eukaryota; Metazoa; Arthropoda; Insecta; Diptera; Scathophagidae. The record is from RNAcentral.
UUUAAAUGGCCGCAGUAUACUAACUGUGCAAAGGUAGCAUAAUCAUUAGUCUUUUAAUUGAAGGCUGGUAUGAAUGGUUGGACGAGAUAUUAACUGUUUCAUAAAAAUUUAUAUUAGAAUUUUAUUUUUUAGUCAAAAAGCUAAAAUUUAUUUAAAAGACGAGAAGACCCUAUAAAUCUUUAUAUUUAAAUUAUUAUAAUUUUAUAGAUAAUUUUUGUUAUAAUAAUUAAUAAUAUUUUAUUGGGGUGAUAUUAAAAUUUAACUAACUUUUAAUUUUUAAAAAUCAUUAAUUUAUGAAUAAUUGAUCCGUUAUUAACGAUUAAAAAAAUAAGUUACUUUAGGGAUAACAGCGUAAUUUUUUUGGAGAGUUCAUAUCGAUAAAAAAGAUUGCGACCUCGAUGUUGGAUUAAGAUAUAAUUUUAGGUGUAGCCGCUUAAAUUUUAAGUCUGUUCGACUUUUAA